AUUUGAUGAUGUGGACAUUAUAUUUGUAACUCCCCAAAUCUUUCCCAAGCUUCGAAGAAUUCCUCAGUAUGCUUUUGUCUAAAAGUUUGGAUCUUGUUUCUUAACCC
This 107-nucleotide small nucleolar RNA is filed under the name Thalictrum thalictroides. RNAcentral describes it as "Plant small nucleolar RNA R71". It matches the Rfam family "Plant small nucleolar RNA R71". Rfam says of the family: R71 is a member of the C/D box family of snoRNAs containing the C (UGAUGA) and D (CUGA) box motifs. Multiple nearly identical copies of this snoRNA have been identified in Arabidopsis, and it is thought to function as a 2'-O-ribose methylation guide for 18S ribosomal RNA. The record is from Rfam by way of RNAcentral. Lineage: Eukaryota; Viridiplantae; Streptophyta; Magnoliopsida; Ranunculales; Ranunculaceae.